AUUCCAACUUGAACCCAUUGAGCGAGCUGUCUCUUUACUAUCGCGUGGUUUUAUACAUCUUGCCGCUGAUUGGGCUGACAUUUCUGACACACCCACCAAACAAGAGAAAACGCUUCUAAAACCUGUUGCAUUCCGUUGCACAACGUUUCAAGGAAACAUGUCGUUCAACCCGGAAACCGUAGCAAAACGUUGCGCACCGGUGUGAGAUUGAACGUGCCCCUGGUCAUUUUCAAGUUCAACUGGUUUUUAAUGUUAAAAGUCCCUCGCAGUCAACAGCUGUUUCCGGUGAGUUCUCAACUGCAGGAUCAAUAGCAUUCAGCAGUGAGUUUAACAACGCUCAAAUGUGGGUAAAAUAACAUUCAGAGAGGAGUUUUAUUAAAACAGCGUUCAACUGCAUGUAAGACAACCUUUUAGAGGUGAGUUUAACAACGCUCCACGGCGCGUGAGAUUAAGUAUUUUAAGCGUUUUCUGAUCAUGUAUUGCUUAUUAGACGUGAUGCAUGCUGGGUGUUAAAUAAUUUUUAUCAAAUGAUCGUUGAUGUUAAUAAAUAUAGAUCUAAAUAUACAUUUUACUUGUGUUCGAUUAAUUAAUAAGUUGUUUAAUUAUUAAUUUGUUUAUUUAAAGUCCUGUAAUAACUGUGACGUCAUCGAAUGAGACGAAGGUCCAUGGCUGUUUCAACUCGGAAGUUGAGAUGAAGAACUCCAAGAACAUCUCUUGAUCUUGGAAAAGUUGGUUGAUGGUCAAGAACUAAAGGAUGAGCUCCAAAGUCUUGAUGACUUUCUUGGUGAACUGCAAGAAAGGCAGCAGCACCAAUAAAGACACCUGAGCCGAGGGUGCAUUGGAGAAAAAGAGACAUUGAUGGAAAUAUUGUCUAUGCAAGGCCAAGGUCAAGCAGGAAUCAACAAAAGAAAGCUGAUCACACUCGGAACACUGAUCCUCCCAAUGCUCCUGACACUCAUUGUGAGGUGGCCUUUGCUCCAGAGACUGUUGGUGUGUACUUCAAUGUGUUUAAAUUACAGAAUAUGACAGUGGGUUAUAAGAGUGUAUUCACUGAACGAUUUCUCAAGUAAUGACGCAUCACCUCCUGGAACCCCAAGAGAUCCUCUUCAGGCUUCCUCAAACUGGAGCACACACAAAUUCUCUUUUCAGAGAGGUGGAGGACAGAGAGACCCUGUCUGCUGAACACGGCUGUGGCACAAGAAAAUGUGGCAGCACAUCUGCCAGAGUGUGGGAGAAGCCCAAGCUGUUAUCCAGUGUUGUGACUGACGACCUCGUCCCUUCUUCUGUGCUGAAUGUGACGUCAUCAUGUCCUCCAUAGCAGAGAUGCCAUGACUGCUGGAUUCUUCCAGCCAUUGCCUCCAACAACUGUUGUGGUGGAUAAGGCUCUUUCCCAUUGUGAGUCAUUAAGGGUCUGUCCAGGAAAGAGUUGCUGUGGUCACAAUUAAUGAUAUCUUGUUUUCAUUUGAAGAAAUGAAGAUGGCGGCACCAGGACUGUCCUUUCAAGCAUUUUUAAGAAUGCUGGAUCAGCGAACUGUCUGCUUUGGUUGUACUGGCAAGAUCUCAGCAGACAGUUUUCAGAAACGUUUUUUGGCUUUGCGAUUCAAGGUGGACAAUAUAUUCAAAUCUGAGGAACCGGACAUCUUUGAAGGCAUCUUCAUAGCUAAGGAUGAGGAUAUUACCAAACUUGUAAAAUUGUAGAUGAUAAUUACACUAUAGGACUACAAUAUCCUCUUAUUGAAUAGUUUGUGUAGGAAAGUCUUAUUUUCACCAUUUUCCAUAUUGUCGGUCAGUGGAAGAGGUGUUUGUGGAGGGGAGUGGUCAGCAGCCAGAGAGACCUCCCAAAAACUGCAAGCAAGAUAGACGAGGAGGGAUUGGAGUUGUGGUGAAAUGGAGUAUGGCAUAUCAGGAUGGUUGUGGAUUAACACUAGGAGAGGGGGUGGAACAGUGCAAUGCCUUCCUCUCUAGGAUUCCAGUGACCACAAAACACAUUUCAAAAGCAGGACGCGCAGACAUGCUGACUCUCAUGGCCAUGCACUGACAUCAGCAAACGUUUAACAAUUUAGCCAUCUCAAAUACUCGCCGAUAUCAGAAGAUUCGCCAAGCAAGAGACUGUUACCUACAAGUUUUGUCGGGAGCCGAGAACAUCAACUUCUUGUAUAGAAGUUGAUGAGUACGACAGUGACUUUGACAUUUCUGGUGAUGGUCUGUAAUCCACAAGACUGUGAUACCUUCCAUUAUUCUGGACAAAGAUUUCUAACUGUCAAUAUAAAGCAAUUAAUAAAAUCUACUUUUCAUAA
Molecule: non-coding RNA, 2297 nt
Organism: Misgurnus anguillicaudatus (oriental weatherfish)
Lineage: Eukaryota; Metazoa; Chordata; Actinopteri; Cypriniformes; Cobitidae
Source: RefSeq, a predicted model, not a curated record